This is a long non-coding RNA of Lathyrus oleraceus (garden pea), 907 nucleotides long. RefSeq lists it as uncharacterized. The record is from RefSeq and is a predicted model, not a curated record. NCBI's taxonomy places the organism in Eukaryota, Viridiplantae, Streptophyta, Magnoliopsida, Fabales, Fabaceae. The transcript has 2 exons.
GCCAUCACUAACCGUGAAGCUCUCCGCCGCUCAAACCUCCGCUUCUUCACCACCAACAAACCCUUGCGAAUCCACCGUCCAAAAUCACCACAUGCGUUAACCCCUUUCGGCUUCUCACAAACCCCCUCUGAUUCGCGUUUCGCCGUCACCUCCAAAGCCCUUAACCACCGUCCUCUUCCAUCGCCUCUCUCAAACAUCUUUCUCUCAACUCUAAAUCAUCAAACCGAAACCCCACAACCACCGUCAACCCUUUUGACCACUACCAAAUGCGACCUCUUUCUCCUUCGUCGCUCAGAACCAAUUGAGUGUGUGUCGAAUUUGCUCAUGAACGCUUUAAAUCAUUGUGUUUGACAAGUUUGCUCCUGAUAUUAUGUUUGCUCUGGUCGCAAGUUGUGUUUGUUGUUUAACAGGUUGCAAAUUAAUUUUCUUUGGUUCGUAUUGAGGCUGGAGGCUACGUUUGGAUACUGCCGAAGGUUCAACAAGAGAAUCCAACUGUGAAAGCUGAAGUGAUAAACGCAAGCUUCUCUACUCUAGCGCCUCCCCUUACUCGACGUCAACGUUGGUCUGACAUUACGAACAACAUCCAUAGCUUUCACAUAUCACGAUUCCGGUCACAAUUCAGCUUUGAUUAUAUCUGUGAAUUUUCAAAUCUCUGUUUCACUUUUAUCCGAAAUGUUGAUGAUUGUAACGUCAGGAACAUAAGGUUACUCUGUUGAUUAUAUAUUUCAUAAUCUUGAUUAAAGGAAUUAUAGGUUUGUUUAGGUUGUGAUUCCUGGAACGUGGUCUUGUUGUGGUGUGAAUCCUGGAUGUAUGAAUAUGUGAAUCAUGAGCCAAAUGCGUGCUGUACUGUGGGUAACCGUUUGUUGAUACAUUUUCUUUCUCGCGUGAAUUUGUUUAUUGCGCUUCA